RNAcentral lists this long non-coding RNA (449 nucleotides) under Ananas comosus (pineapple). RNAcentral's name for it is "long non-coding RNA (ACOM_LNC005673)". The record is from RNAcentral. Lineage: Eukaryota; Viridiplantae; Streptophyta; Magnoliopsida; Poales; Bromeliaceae.
AAGGAUCACCAUAGAAACAUGAAUCUACUCUUCAUGUGUGGCGUCGUUGAUUCGGCGUGAUCAAGGCAGUUCGUGGAUUCGGAUCGUGGGUGCUUGAGAAUUCGAGUGGCGUCCGUGGAUUCGGACGUGGCUGUGACGUUUGUGGAUAUAUUCGAUCGUAGGGCGUGGACAACCUGGUGACGUGUGCGAGAUCCAUAAGUUGUUAAGAGAGGUUGAGUGCGUGGAGUCGAUAAUCACCUUAUAAUCUUUUCUCUUAAUAAAUUAUUUUUUCGCGUGUUGGUCUCGUGGGCUUAUUUCUGAAUUAGAGUUUUUUCACGUAAAUCUCGAUGUGCUAUUUUAUUUUUCGCAUUUAUUUUUAUUAUAUUGAGAUUUAUAUUUUUCGGCUAUACAGUUAUUCACUCCCUUCUAGGGGUGUGAUAAUAUCUAGAUACAUUCUAAAAUUUUCAUAA